This 489-nucleotide ribosomal RNA is filed under the name uncultured bacterium. Its description in RNAcentral is "partial 16S ribosomal RNA". It matches the Rfam family "Bacterial small subunit ribosomal RNA", at positions 28 to 507 of the family's 1533-position model. The record is from RNAcentral.
GACGAACGCUGGCGGCGUGCUUAACACAUGCAAGUCGAACGGAAAGGCCCCCAUCUUGGUGGGGGUGCUCGAGUGGCGAACGGGUGAGUAACACGUGGGUGAUCUGCCCUGUACUUCGGGAUAAGCUUGGGAAACUGGGUCUAAUACCGGAUAGGACCAUGGUUUAGUGUCUCAUGGUGGAAAGAUUAUUGUUUUGGUGCAGGAUGAGCUCGCGGCCUAUCAGCUUGUUGGUGGGGUAAUGGCCUACCAAGGCGUGGACGGGUGGCCGGCCUGAGAGGGUGGACGGCCACAUUGGGACGGAGAGACGGCCCAGACUCCGACGGGAGGCAGCAGUGGGGAACAGUGCACAAUGGGCGCAAGCCUGAUGCAGCGACGCCGCGUGGGGGAGGACGGCCUUCGGGUUGUAAACUCCUUUCGUGAGGGACGAAGCCGCACUUUUUUUGGGUGUGGUGACGGUACCUUUGUUAAGAAGCACCGGCUAACUACGUG